GAUGAACGCUGGCGGCGUGCCUAAUACAUGCAAGUAGAACGCUGAAGGAAGGAGCUUGCUCUUUCCGGAUGAGUUGCGAACGGGUGAGUAACGCGUAGGUAACCUGCCUGGUAGCGGGGGAUAACUAUUGGAAACGAUAGCUAAUACCGCAUAACAGUAGAUGUUGCAUGAUAUCUACUUAAAAGGUGCAAUUGCACCACUACCAGAUGGACCUGCGUUGUAUUAGCUAGUUGGUGAGGUAACGGCUCACCAAGGCGACGAUACAUAGCCGACCUGAGAGGGUGAUCGGCCACACUGGGACUGAGACACGGCCCAGACUACUGCGGGAGGCAGCAGUAGGGAAUCUGCGGCAAUGGACGGAAGUCUGACCGAGCAACGCCGCGUGAGUGAAGAAGGUUGUCGAAUCGUAAAGCUCGGUUGUAAGAGAAGAACGAGUGUGAGAGUGGAAAGUUCACACUGUGACGGUAUCUGACCAGAAAGGGACGGCUAACUACGUG
RNAcentral lists this ribosomal RNA (497 nucleotides) under uncultured bacterium. Its description in RNAcentral is "partial 16S ribosomal RNA". It matches the Rfam family "Bacterial small subunit ribosomal RNA", at positions 28 to 507 of the family's 1533-position model. The record is from RNAcentral.